UGCUGUCAAAUACAUCCAACAAGCCCAUAGCAGAUAAAUCCGAUUUAAGGUCAUAGCUUUCUUCUAGCUUAAAUUUCGGCAAAUACACAUUAACAUCAGUGGAAUACAGGUGAUGUGGAUGUGUCCAUUCCUGGAGCUUCUCAAAGCUUGAGAUGAAGAUGACAAAAGUGGAUUCAGGCACUACUGAAAAAUGCAAUUAGUGCAAAAGAGCAAUCGUAUUGUGAAGAAACAAACUUCCUGGAGUAAUAGUGGCUAUUCUGCCAAGACAUCUUUUUAGGGAGAGCAAAACCUGCCACAGAACAAAAUGCUAGAAGUUUUGUUAUGCCGGAUGAAGAAGAAGAAGGGAUGAUCAGCAGUAAAUUCUGGAACGAUCAUUGCACAGCGCAGCAUCAUCACUCCUGCUGUGGCAGCUGCCGCUUCAGUGCCUUCUUCGUUGACUUCUAUGAAGGACUUGUGAACCACUUCAGAGAGCACCAACUCGUUGCCAGAUGAGAUUCCUGAGAAGUCUGCCUUCAUCAAGUCAAACGCAUCAGGCAUUCCCAUGCUGCUCAGAAUGGGUUUCAAAUCAUAAUUUUCUUCCAGUUUAAAUCUGGGUAAAGACACCUUCACCUCUGUGUAGUCCAUCAUUUCAGGAUUAAUCCACUCCAUCAGCUUCUCAUACGUAAGUUCCCUUUCCAGCUUAAAAAAGUUAUGUAAUUCAAAUGAGAAAAGAGUCACAGAUUCACAAAGCCAAAAGUGGUGACUACUGUAUGUGUUUAAAUGGUGCAUGCAUGUAUCUUUCUUUUUCAUAAUUCAGAGGCUCUCAAGCUCAAAGUGCAAGUCUUAUCUAGACUUGCUUACAGGGGCCCAUAUGCUUUUUGUGAUAAGAUACAGAAAGAAUCAGUCCCUUCCUCAUUAAGUUUGCUUUACAAAACAAGUUAGAUUGUUAAACCCUAUUUUACAUAUGCUAAACUUUACAUAAGCUACAGAAAAACUAAUCCUUGUUUUCUAAGUCCCAAAGAAAUUGAACCUAGCUCUUCUAUCUCAAAGAAAAGGUCAUCCUUCAGGUUGACAGGCCUGAUGAAAAGGCCUGCUCACAAUACCCUGUGCAGCCAAUGCUGGACUAUAUGAUUAAUGAAUUCCUUGGUUGGUUAUCUCCAGAACAAAAGAGAUCCUAGAGAUUCUGGUGAGCCUGUUUCCAGAUGGUAGGCCAAAGACAACUUUCCAGCUGUUCAGAAAUGAACAUCUAUGGGUCAGGGACUUCCUACAUGGACUUCCUAAGAGCCUCUCAGAACCCCUGCUCAUUUGGUGGGGACUAUACUACGCCUUCACCUUAACUAUAGCUAACUCCUACUCCCAUUGAGGGUUAUGCCUUCUUCCAGAGUCUUGCUCUCAGUAGGGGGCAGCACACAGCUUGACCAGCAGUGACACAAGUUAGGCCAGUCACUUUGGACAUGGGGCAUAUUGGACAUUUCAGCCAGUAUUGGGCACCAGUGACACAAGAGAUUUGGAAUUCAACUUGCAGGUCUGUAUGCAAUAUCAAACUCCUUUCUGGCAUGAUACAAACUGUCUUUGCAUUUAGUUUAACAACUUACACUUUCCAAGCCAGUGGAUCCAUCCUGGAUUGCAUCGGGGAGCAGGAUGAUCAUGCUGAGUUCAUUAUCAACAUAAGGGAGCUCAAGGAUUUUGGUCUGGAAGUCCCCAUUAUAGGUCAUGUUAAAUUUAUCUUUCUUGAACAUCAUCUGCACAGGUUUACUCUCAUUCUAAAAAUAAAGUGAUGUCAAGUUAAUACUAAGCUAGUAUGCUGGUCUUAAAAUAAGAGGUUGGCAUCCAGUUACUCAGAGCUUUUUAAAAUUUGACUGUACAGAGAACUAGAACAUGCUGUGGGGUAUAGCCCUGCCACUGCUUUUAGUAAAGCAAGGGAUGAGACCUAAGGAUCCUUAAGAUUUAUUUUUUAAUUGUUAAUGUGGAAGUAUAUGUGAAGUGUCUGUAAAGAGGCAAGAACAUGCUUUUACAUACUCAAGAAUUAGCAUUCCUUUUAACAGCGUAGAUAGGAAGCAUGGCCUAUCUUCCUUGCUUUAUAUGAUACAAAAUAAUUUUAAUUUAGAUAUUUUCAUUUUUUUGUGGCUAUAUGUGCUAUCGAAUAACAGAAUUAAAAUAUUUUAACAUGCCACUAAAAAUGCCCCCAAAAUGAGGGCACUAUUUUGAGCCCUUAAAGAUCACAGGGACAUUAGGGAGAGAUUUUCUUCUCAUUCUCCACUGGGUCCUUUCUUUUUUUGCAUAGAGCAUCAGUUACUAUUGUUUAAUUCAUUGUCUUCCUUUUCAGUUAAGGGUUCCAUUGUUUUCCUGUGUAACCUUGAUGAGAUUAUCAUGCAAAAAUUUAAAGUAAAGUAAAGCCCACUGAAACAAAGCGAGAAUAUCCCAGAGAUAAUUUUGCAACUCUGAAAGCUUUUUCAAUAUGUAUCUCAAUAGUGAUAGGGUAAGAUGCAAGGCACCAAGUCAGUCUGUUGGUUUCUGAAGUUCUGUAUACAUAGUAUGGAGUAAGCUACAAAAUUCCCUAUUUGAAAAACUGUAGUAGUAGCUUUAGACAUUCUUGGAUGUAUUUCACCACUGAGGGAGGGAUAGUUUUAAAUUGAGCACAACAGUUUCAAUUUUGCAGUGUUUGUUUAAAGAAGGUGAAUUUCUGAGGGAGUCACAUUACCAGUUCUUGUUAAUGACAUCUGGCAACAUACCCAGAGUUUGAGGUAAUCUCCAAGAAGCAGGCCUGGCCCACUAAUCAUAAUGGCUGAGUUUUCUAGAAUAGCAUAGGUUUACUUCCAAAAGAGAAAAAGUCCAGUACUGAUGUCUUUGAAGAAACGGUUACUCCCCCAUUUAUUUUGCAUCAAUUCCAUGGUAAAAAUGCAGUGAAAAAGCAUUUUCGCUGAAGAAGGCUAUUGCAUUCAGAAGUUUCUGAACAUGUACAAAUGUUCCUUCUGCCUACAGCCUAAAAGUACAAUCCUUUUCUUAUGCACACCAGUUUCAUGCUGAAAUAGUCAAGUUCACUUGAUGAUUGUUCACUGACUUUUGUGAAGUUGUUCUUGAGUUGCCAUUCACGUGAGAAAAGAAUUAGUAAGCUCAGAUUUUUGACAAGGAAGUAAACCCUUAAAGCCUUUAUGAAGCUGUGCAUUGCAACUGCUUUGCCCUCUUUUCAGCCACGUAAAAAAAGGCAGAGAAAGGGGCAGACUUUGUAAAUAUUUUCAGGUUUGAGGGAGUUCUGUAUGCAGAAGUACUGGACUACAGGCCAUGGAGGCUAAAUGAUUUAUAAUUUCUUCUGCCAGCACCUUGUAGAUUCCCACAGAAUUACAUGACAGGUUCACUUAGCAAUGUUCUCUUCAGAAGUUGUUUUAAGUUCUGUAACUACACAUAGGACUGCCUUUCUCAAGCACAGAAAAUAAAGGUAAUAAGAAAAAAGAAACAGAAUAAAAAUUUAAUUUUGAUACUAAAAGUUUUAGAAAAUAUGUGAAAAAAUUAGCAGAAAAUAAACAAAGAGGAUGUUCAUACUAAAGGGACAGAGUAGAAGCAAUUCCUUACAGUCUACCUAUGGUAACCCUGUGUAAAUGUAUUUUUCCUUCCAAGUUACAUGUAACAUUGUACUGCCACCAUUUCAGCAUAGCAUACCUUGUUAAUUUUAAAUGGCAUUUCCACCGUCUUCUCUUUGUUGAACUGGCUCUCCCAGUUGCCUUUGAAAUAGAUGGCAUUCACCAACACAAGUCUGGUCAUUGAAUUAAUAAUCCCCUGAGCCAACAGGUUCUGAAUUUUACCUUUGAGAUACAUUUGAAGGAAAACAAAUUUUAACAACUAGGCAUGUAUCUAAUUAUUAACAAAUACAGUAUAUGUGAUAGAUAGUAUCAAUCUGAUAGUGAAAGCUCAGGAUUUGUUAAAAAUCCAAUAAAUUUUAUCUUGAAAUAGCAGUUUAUCCAAGCCCUGAGUGCCUUUAAGUGCAAGAUGGUGUUUUACAAAACACUUACCUUCAGUCUUUUUUUCUACCCAAUCGUUUAUUUGUUUUCUGGAAUCCUCUGAAGAAUGCACAAAGUCAGUUUGUUCUAGUCCAGCAUGAUAGAAUUUCUGACUUGAUUCUGUAAAUGACUACAAUGAACAUUAAGCACAGAAUUUCAGCAAUGUAUUUUACUCAUGUUCAGUCACAGACUAUUCCUAAACACACUGAGAAAAUCUGCCCUCUCUCUUCCCUCAGUUUCAUACAGCACCAUUAAAGUUUUGUCUGACACCCUCCUAUUACUUCUUCUUCUUUGUUUUUUUUUUAACCUACUAAUCAAACUACAAAUUGUCUUCCAUUUUUAUGUUACUAAGCCAAACUGGUUUGGCUAGGGCACUGCUAGAGAGUCCAAUAAAACUGAACUGAGAGAUGAUAUGAUUCCAGUUCUUUUGGUUUCAGUCAGAGAACACACAAUGCUGUAAGCCUGUUUCUACAUAAACUUAGUUGUUAGAACUCCCAGACUAACAAAAACACUUUUAGUUCAGAGGUGAAACAGUGAUUUUUCAUACAGAGAAAAAACAUACCUUGUCUCCAAUUUCAUAUAUUUAGAUCUUUAUUAUAUAGAUCCAAAUUUUCAAUGUUUAAUCUUGGCAAUUUUAAGCAAGCUUGAUUGAAACUCUUGAUUGGUGCUAAUUUACAGCAUUUUUUCACACAAAAAAGAUUGCAAAUUAGGAAAAGCAACAGGAUUGUACCAGCCUGAAUAAUAAAAAGCAUUACAAGAAUUCUUAAGACAUAAAUUCCUACAUGGUUUCAUCACUCCCUGAAAAUAAAAAUAAAACGCAUAGAUGUAUUUCUAGGGAAAUGACUAAAGGAACAUGCAUGACACAGUAUCUAUUAUUCUUCUUUAUACCUUCUGAAAUGGAAACUAUUACAAAUCAUAUGCCCUUUCUAGCGUAUUAUCUGGAUAACAGAGAAAAGACAAACUAUAAAAUACUGCUUAUGCUAGACUGCAAUAAAAAUUCUCCUUUUCACCACAUUAACACAUGAUCAAAUGAAAAGAGAGAUAUCAAAUACUUAGCCCAUAGCCAAAAGAUGUGUGAACUGUGCAUUUAAUCUGACAGUUUUUAUAGUGCUUUGCACCAUCACAGGGCUAUCAAACAGGAGCUUCUUGAACAAAUUCAGAUACUGCCAUUUUGAGGACAGUCUUUGGGUUGGUAGGUCUCAGUCUAGAAAGAACUAGUGAAGUAAAAUACAAUGCCUGUAUGUGCUCUCCAACGGGAACGUGUAGUGAGAAUUUUAUACUUCAAAACCCCACAAAUUUAAGGUUUACUUACGGAAAGAAAUUCAAAUGUCUUUUCUCCGUAUAACCGGUUAGCUGUUCUGAGCACAUACUUGGUAUCUGGAUUGUUAAUUUCAGAAAGAAGUAAUUGAUACCCAUUGUGAACAUCUUCAGCUUUGCUCAAAGAAAGCACCUGUAGAAAGGCAAACAAUUUCUGCAGAGUCUAUGUCACCUCUAAAACACUUGGUUGAGUGCAAUUAUUUUUACCAGUUUUGAGAUCAAAAAUUGACUUCAACUGACUAGAGCAAGCCAUGGAGGGCAGCAGAUUUUUCAUCACAUUACCUAUGUGCAGCUGAUCAUGCAAGUUACAAAUGAUGUGUGCACAGUCAGAUGUUGUAAGUGUAGUAAGUUAAGGUGCAGAAGGGUCAGCGGUAUACAGCUUCCUUCAUUCUAUCCAAGCAUUAAGGGAUAUUCAUUUAAAAACAAAAUUUUGGAGAACCUGUAAUGAAACCACCAGCACAAAAAACUACUGUAUUUAUAAAAUAAAUUUUAUAAUUUCCACUCCAUUCACCAUACUUGCUUUUCAUAAAGUCUUGUCGCUUUCAUAGAUUUAAAUGAAAACAAAACAUGUUUGUCCUCCUCUUUCACUACGCAAAAAGAGGUACACAUAAGAAGAAAAACAGCUGAUUAUGCAUUUCAUGUUGUCAAUUGUAUAAAUAGAAAAGUAUGCAAGUGGCAUUACUUGGGUAUGUUAAAUAAAGUCAUCUAAUGCACAGUUAUUGUUUUCUCCUGUGCUAACAAUAGCCCUUUGUACAGCCCAUUUCUCAGAGUUGAAAGCAACAUCUUACGCAAUGCCUUCAAAUAACUGUAAAAGUAAAAUUCUGCUGCUAUUUGUGUUCCUAAAUGGGUACAUACUCAAUUCUGUCUGUCUGUCAGUGGCCUUUUUCUGUAAUGUCUUUAUCACUGUGCUCUCUCAGCCCUAUUUUAUUAAAGAAGUAAAUGAAUUACAGUACCUGAAAUGCCACACUUGGCAUAAUUCUACUAGGAAAAUGUUCAUGAGUACGGGUGUCUGUUGCUUGACUUGAAAUCUUUACAUGAAAAGGUAGUAUUUUCAUUACUUAAAAACAUCUACGAAAUAAAUGAAUAUUAAAACUUA
Rhea pennata is the source of this 6387-nucleotide long non-coding RNA. RefSeq lists it as uncharacterized. The record is from RefSeq and is a predicted model, not a curated record. The transcript has 2 exons. NCBI's taxonomy places the organism in Eukaryota, Metazoa, Chordata, Aves, Rheiformes, Rheidae.